Molecule: long non-coding RNA, 657 nt
Organism: Misgurnus anguillicaudatus (oriental weatherfish)
Lineage: Eukaryota; Metazoa; Chordata; Actinopteri; Cypriniformes; Cobitidae
Source: RefSeq, a predicted model, not a curated record
GCUCUGUGCACGCAACUAAGGAGUUCUACUUCCGCCGCCUUGAGUGUAGGGCCGACCGUUUCCGGUCUUAAGAUAUGAAGUAAGGAUGAUAUGAAUCAUGGCGCUGUUUUACACCCAAUUUCUGCAAGAUCUACCAAAGUUAACAAUUACCGACGAUCACCGGCUAGUACAAGCGGCAUGCUCAGCCCCGAGGAGCAAAAAGGAAAAGGUUUAUUAAGUUACAUCGACAACUAUGAAGAUUGUCUUUGACCACUGCUCACCAGUUGACAUUUCAGUGGCAGACUGUUCCUGUGUGGCUGGAAGAGCACCCGACUGAGAGCCCACCCUUCCGACUGAUGGAAAAGAAAUGUACCAACGCAAAGAGCCAUGUAGACUGUAGCUCCUUGAAAAUGCCUGUGUAACGAUGAAAUUAAGCAGACUCACAGCUACUACUGGCAGGUGCAAGGCCAGCCAUCACUUGCAGUGAUGCAGUGAUGUGAUUUUGGUGUUUUUGCAGAGUAGGAUUUUUUCAUACAACACAUUUACUGAGAGACUGUGAGGUGGCUAUAAUAACCAUAAGGGAGAUUAUUUACAUGGAUGUUUGAAUCACUUAUGGCAUGUAAUUUGAUUAAUAUGCACUACAUUUUUUCUCUUUAAUAAAUAUAUUACUUUAAUGUG